UACGUAGGGGGCGAGCGUUGUCCGGAAUUACUGGGCGUAAAGGGCUCGUAGGCGGCCAACUAAGUCAGACGUGAAAUCCCUCAGCUUAACUGGGGAACUGCGUCUGAUACUGGAUGGCUUGGAUUUGGGAGAGGGAUGCGGAAUUCCAGGUGUAGCGGUGAAAUGCGUAGAUAUCUGGAGGAACACCGGUGGCGAAGGCGGCAUCCUGGACCAAUAUUGACGCUGAGGAGCGAAAGCCAGGGGAGCAAACGGG
RNAcentral lists this ribosomal RNA (253 nucleotides) under uncultured bacterium. RNAcentral's name for it is "partial 16S ribosomal RNA". It matches the Rfam family "Bacterial small subunit ribosomal RNA", at positions 524 to 776 of the family's 1533-position model. The record is from RNAcentral.